This 218-nucleotide ribosomal RNA is filed under the name uncultured bacterium. RNAcentral's name for it is "partial 16S ribosomal RNA". It matches the Rfam family "Bacterial small subunit ribosomal RNA", at positions 328 to 539 of the family's 1533-position model. The record is from RNAcentral.
ACGCUCGACACCUACGGGAGGCAGCAGUGAGGAAUAUUGGUCAAUGGGCGCAGGCCUGAACCAGCCAAGUAGCGUGAAGGAUGACUGCCCUAUGGGUUGUAAACUUCUUUUAUAUGGGAAUAAAGUUUUCCACGUGUGGAAUUUUGUAUGUACCAUAUGAAUAAGGAUCGGCUAACUCCGUGCCCGCAGCCGCGGUAAUCUGAGCGGGCUGGCAAGGC